GACGAACGCUGGUGGCGUGCCUAAUACAUGCAAGUAGAACGCUGAAGGAGGAGCUUGCUCUUCUGGAUGAGUUGCGAACGGGUGAGUAACGCGUAGGUAACCUGCCUGGUAGCGGGGGAUAACUAUUGGAAACGAUAGCUAAUACCGCAUAAGAGUAGAUGUUGCAUGACAUUUGCUUAAAAGGUGCAAUUGCAUCACUACCAGAUGGACCUGCGUUGUAUUAGCUAGUUGGUGGGGUAACGGCUCACCAAGGCGACGAUACAUAGCCGACCUGAGAGGGUGAUCGGCCACACUGGGACUGAGACACGGCCCAGACUCCUACGGGAGGCAGCAGUAGGGAAUCUUCGGCAAUGGACGGAAGUCUGACCGAGCAACGCCGCGUGAGUGAAGAAGGUUGUCGGAUCGUAAAGCUCUGUUGUAAGAGAAGAACGAGUGUGAGAGUGGAAAGUUCACACUGUGACGGUAUCUUACCAGAAAGGGACGGCUAACUACGUG
RNAcentral lists this ribosomal RNA (495 nucleotides) under uncultured bacterium. RNAcentral's name for it is "partial 16S ribosomal RNA". It matches the Rfam family "Bacterial small subunit ribosomal RNA", at positions 28 to 507 of the family's 1533-position model. The record is from RNAcentral.